This is a long non-coding RNA of Acinonyx jubatus (cheetah), 3413 nucleotides long. RefSeq lists it as uncharacterized. The transcript has 7 exons. The record is from RefSeq and is a predicted model, not a curated record. NCBI's taxonomy places the organism in Eukaryota, Metazoa, Chordata, Mammalia, Carnivora, Felidae.
GGAGAGAGAGCACGAACAGAGAAGGGGCAGAGAGAGGGAGACACAGAAUCCGAAGCAGGCUCCAGGCUCUGAGCUGUCAGCACAGAGCCCGAUACGGGGCUCGAACUCACAAACCGUGAGAUCAUGACCUGAGCUGAACUUGGACACUUAACCGACUGAGCCACCCAGAUGCCCCUAAACGGUCAGUUUUUCAUUCAUGAUAUAGGUAAUGGAACAGGAACUUAAAACUACUUUUCAUUCAGUGUCCUUAUUACUGAGUUUUUCUUCACGCACCUAUCUGCCACCAAUGCCAGAUCCUGUGGCUUAGUGCCCCUGGGAACAAGGGCUUAAGGGAAGUCCUACCCCAUAAAAAGAAGCUCUUGAGAGGAGGAGAGUGAGGGCUGAAGAGGAAGGCAGAGACAGCAGAUGCUGGUGUGCUCACUUUCUCCUCCCGUUGGCGUUAUCCAUGGAAAGCCAGGAGUAAAGCAUCACCAGAGCAAGCACUGAGCUGAGUUACUUCCUGGGCAGAGGGAUACCCAGCAAGGGACUACUUUUCCGAGGAUUUCAACCGACAAUCUCGCAGGUCAAAUUUGGAUCCAACUUGUUAUCGAGCCGUGGACUGCUUCUUCCCCCAGAAUGGAGAAGGGGCUCGCCUUCCAUCACAGAAACAUUCACAGGUGACAGCAGGAAGGGGAACAAACACACUUGACUUUCUUGUCUGUGCCUUAGAAUUGUGUCGAGCAGCUGAGCACAGUCAUUUUGGUGUGAAACCAGCAGAAGGUGAGUACUGAGGGUUCAGUCACUUGAUUCGGUAACAGGUGCUGUUUAUAGCACCCAAGUUCUUUCCUGGAACCUCUUUGUAUUUGUGACGCGGGCCAUGUGCUAAGAGUGCAGCCAUGCCAUGUUUUGUCACCAUGUGACACACCAGUGGCAGACACGGCCUUUGGUUUAGACAUGAUGGAAUCAUGGGCCCCUCCUCUGCCCACCCAACCUUCUGCCCUGAGCGAUUAAGGCUGUCAGGGUAACCGGCUCACAUCCUGUUAGGAGGAAUUACCGUGAUCACUAAUGGGUAGUUAGGGGUGGCAUUCCAGUUUCAGGGCUUUCAUGGGCCUUGAAAACUAGUGAGAAAAUAUCCGUUUAUCAGCCAGUCAUUUAAAGGACACCACACGGAACGAUGUUUCAAGACUUCCAAAUGCAUAGAAGUCAUAUAUCAUAAUGGAGCGUAAAAGUUACACGUGAAUAGGCUGUAAAACUGAACAACUGUUUACCUCAGUGAAGGUUUUAUUUACAUGCCCUCCAGCAGAUACUUAACUGUACUUCUUACGAAUCUGCCGAUCACAGGCUUCAAGCAGAGCCUGAUUAAGUUGUGCCGGAUUGGGUAGACGUCAAUUGCAGUGUGAUUUUAGGGGCUCAGAGAAGGCCUCUCUGGCUCCCUCCAAAACUCAUUUUGCUUGCUUGAUGCUUCACAUUUCUUGAAAGGGAAGCUUUAUUCUUAUAAUUACAGAAAAUUCAAUUUGACCAAUUCAACAUCGAAAUCAACAUGAAAUACACAAAUAGCUGCAUUCUUUGCGGAGCGCUUGCAUAGUGGCCUCUUCUUUAUCCUCAAACACUCCAAUAAGUUGGAUCAUUGCCCUCAAUUAUGAGGAGGGUCCUGUGACUUGGAGAAGUUAAGUGGCUUUGUCUGAGGGCACAUGAAGGGCAUGGCAGAACUGCCUCCUUCGUGAUGUUUCCACGAGAGCAAGCCUCUUGCGUUAAAUACCUUACAGGAGGAAGUCCACGACUUAAACGCAUACGAGCCUGAGAGCCAGUUGUGAAAGGUGGAGAUGUAAACGGGAGCAUUGGGUCAGCAGUCUUCCUGGGCCCUACUCAGCUGGGGCAGGCGCUGAGGUCCCCUCCUGUGCAGUGCCCCUUGCCCGUUCCCCGGUUGGCCCUGCCCAUUGCCCCAGCGGACCAUGAGUGUGCAUAUGCACUUCCUCCAAGCUUGCUGAGCUCACCUCAUCCCACGUUCACAGUCCCUACUGGGACCAGAGCCCCGCUCCAACCCUCAGGUCCUUGGAUAAAGUCCUGGAAACCUGCCACUUCCUUGCCAGUUUUCUCCCCCAGGAAGCUAAGCUGCAUUCCUUCUGCUCUCACCCUCAGCUGGGAUUUCAUUUCUCUGGACAAAUCUGUCAGAAUUGGAUGCUGAUUGUUGCCUUUUCCCUUUGAUUCCUGCUUUUUCAGGAACUACCAGUUCCUUCAUUCCCUGAACUCAUUUUUAUGGAGUACCUACUACAUACAAGACACAGUCUGGAGUUGAUUUCCCAUGGCUCUCAAGCUGCCAGCUCACGUUCAAUUUCCCACCAGUCCAGUUGUGUUAAGGAAUCAGUGGCUUGAUCAGCUUCAUUUUAGAAGCUUUCUGAGAUGGUGGGGUGUUUUUCCUUCUUUCCCAUGCUUUUGGAACCCUGCCAAAGCAAAUGAAGGAUUAAGCCAGAAGAUUCCAUUGGACCUCUGACCUCUUUCCUGCCCACCUGGAGGAAUUUGAGGCAGGUCCUGGAGCAGAGCAGAUCUAGGAUGCUUCUGAAGACCGACAUAGCUUCAUCAGGAGGAGCUGAGACACCAUAAUUUGGGAAAUGUGAAUCUUUUGCCCAUCUAUUCAGGACUUGUGAAGACAGAGAUGAGCCUUCUGCUUCCAGUGAUCAUGGGGCCCCCAGAUGAAGCCAGCCUCAGGAUAAUAAACCAGUUUCUGGUUAGGUACGAUUAUGAAAUAAUUGGACUCGGAACAAAUAAAGCUCGAGAUGUAGACCGUGUCCCCAGAAGAGGCGUCGGAGUGGAGAUGGUGGUUGAGGAACCACUGGGAAUGCUUCACUGCAGGCCAUGUUUCUGAGAUCCGGGCAGUUUUCAAGCCGCCUUCAAUGAGAUUCAUUCAUCAUUGCUGUGAAGCAAAUAGUGCCCGUUUUGCAGAGGGGGCAUGGAAGCUGAAGAAAUGCCCUUUCCCCUUCACCUGAAAUAUAAGCCAUUGGAAAGAGCAGUGUCUGGGAAUGACUAGACCCGUAUUUGUGUCCCACUUCUGUCACCUGGGAGCCUCAGGCAAGUGUUCAGCCUCUCUGCUGCAGCUGGUCCUGGGUCAGUUGAAGUCCGUACACUAUGACCUCCCCCAGGGUGGGAAAUAUAGCUUGUUUAUAGUGCUUGACAUAACGGAAGCAAAUUUAGUAAGCAUUUAGGACUUCAUACCUUUAAGUGUUGCUGAAACACAUCCUCGUACACACACAUCCAUCACCAACAAAUAUCACUGCAGGGAGUGGCAAAUAUGUCUUGCAUUACUUAAUAUAAUCAUUAUAAGAACUCUGCAAUGAAACUAUUACUAACAUCACUAUUUUGCAAGAUAAAACUGAACCACACUGAAGCUAAUGUAACAUUACAUGUCAACAAUACUUCAACAAAAUAAACUGAGGCAC